GCACAUCCCGGCCUGACCGCCGGCGCCUCUGCCUGGAGCGGGGGACGCCGCUGCUCCCAGGGACAGCGGGUCGUGUCUCCAGCUUCCUGCCGGCAGCCCCCAGCUGCACGCCUCCUCCUCGGCCGCCUGGCCUGCCCCCCUCCCCUCCUCUUUCCUCCUCGGGCUCCUGUCUGUCCCCUCCUCGGUUCCUUCCGCUGUCCUCUUCUCCACUUCUGAGGGGAGUGUGUUCUGUGCCCCCCGCCUCCUGCGCCUGGUCCCUGGCCCUCCCAGAUGCUGCUCCGUGCGCCUCCACCAGCGGGCCCUCCUCUGGUCUCCCUAUCUGUGGUCCCCAAUGACCGGAUCCUGGGGGUGACAGGGCUUUGCCCCUGUGGCUGCUCAGAGGCGCAAGAGUGGCUGCGGGGCGGGCCCUGGCCUCCCGCCUCCCCCUCUCCCUCACUCCCCUCCCUUCCCCCCUGUCUGGCUGGCGGUCCAGCCUCCCCCUUCCUCCCCCCACCUCUCCAACCAUCGUGCGCCACAUCUGCUUCUUGUUAACUCCGGGAAAGAGAGGGAAAAAAAAAGGAAAAACAGAGAAAUGUGGAGUUGCCGCCGGGCUUGGGGCCAGCCUCUCAGACGGGCCACAUGGAGGGGAGCCGGGGCCAGAGCUGGGGAGGAGGCCCAGGGCCGGGCGCUUAGACAGGGAACGGGAGCUGGAGCCACAGCUCUCCUGGGGCCAGGGCAGGCCUGCCCUGCGACAGAGGACCUGAGAGAGGAGCCCAGACGGGAGAGCAGUGAAGGGUGGACGAAGCUGCGGGGUGACACAGACUUGGAAGAGAAGGCUGGGACUGCCUGCGUGAUGAGAGACCCAGUGAAGGGAGACACCAGAGAAGAUUCCAGGCUUUGA
This 880-nucleotide long non-coding RNA is filed under the name Sus scrofa (pig). RNAcentral's name for it is "lncRNA (ENSSSCG00005040463.1)". Lineage: Eukaryota; Metazoa; Chordata; Mammalia; Artiodactyla; Suidae. The record is from RNAcentral.